Molecule: ribosomal RNA, 314 nt
Filed under: Proteus mirabilis
Lineage: Bacteria; Pseudomonadati; Pseudomonadota; Gammaproteobacteria; Enterobacterales; Morganellaceae
Description: bacterial SSU rRNA
Rfam family: Bacterial small subunit ribosomal RNA
Source: RNAcentral
UUGGGGGGGUGCCUAAUACAUGCAAGUCGAGCGGUAACAGGAGAAAGCUUGCUUUCUUGCUGACGAGCGGCGGACGGGUGAGUAAUGUAUGGGGAUCUGCCCGAUAGAGGGGGAUAACUACUGGAAACGGUGGCUAAUACCGCAUAAUGUCUACGGACCAAAGCAGGGGCUCUUCGGACCUUGCACUAUCGGAUGAACCCAUAUGGGAUUAGCUAGUAGGUGGGGUAAAGGCUCACCUAGGCGACGAUCUCUAGCUGGUCUGAGAGGAUGAUCAGCCACACUGGGACUGAGACACGGUCCAGACUCCUACGGGA